Molecule: long non-coding RNA, 3081 nt
Organism: Herpailurus yagouaroundi (jaguarundi)
Lineage: Eukaryota; Metazoa; Chordata; Mammalia; Carnivora; Felidae
Exons: 2
Source: RefSeq, a predicted model, not a curated record
GUGUGUGUGUGUAUAUAUAUAUGUAUAUAUAUUUUUUUCAUUUUAAUAUAGGAUUUACUCUCCCAUAUGCUACAUAUGGACCCACAUCAGCGGUACACUACAGAACAAGUAUUAAAACACUCAUGGAUAACCCACAGAGAUCAGUUGCUGAAUGAUCAGCCAAAUAGAUAUGAUGCAUCACAUGUCAUUAAGGGAGUAGUGGUCACCACAUGUUCUGCCCUGACUCACAAGACCUUUCAACCAGUCCUUGAGCCUGUUGCUGCUUCAAACUUAGCUCAGCGACGGAGCAUGAAAAAACGAACAUCAACUGGCCUAUAAGAUUUCUAGUGUUCCUCAGCCAGACUGGAUGAAGAGAAAAUUAAAUGUGUGGCUUUUUGCCUAAUCUUAUAUCAAAGGCAUUGUUUUCUGCUACAUUACUUGAAUAUUCUGUUUAAGCCUCCUUUUUUAGGGAGAUGAGAUAAAAAAAAAUACACAGGUCCACAGUAUUCAUACUCUAUGUUGUUUUGUAGUGGUGUCCAAGUGUUUAAAUAUAUAAUUGGUGUCUACAAGGUCCUAACAACUUCUCUGCACACUAACUUGUAAAGUUCCUUUCAAAUAAAGUUAUUUUAAUAGUUUUUCUAGUUUCAUAAGAUAAUGAUUUGGGGAAUCAGUACCAACAAUCAGGAUGCAAAUACAAUAGUAUAAUGCCAAGCAAUGCCAAUAUUUGUAACAUCAGAUCCUGAAGAAUAGGCUUUUUUAAAAAAGAAAACAAACAAAAAUGUAUUGUACAAACUUGUUUUUGCAUACAACCAAAGGACUACAUUCAUUUGUGCCAAUACAUGAGCUCCUGAUAUAGUUGGUGCCAAAAUUUUUACAGAAUCAAAUCACAGAUUAUGUAUUCAGACAGACCUAUAUAUUAUCCAUAAGUGUCCUCAUCUAGAAAUAAAGGUUUCCAUAAGACCUCUGUAAAUUUUACAUCUAAUGAAAUUAUGGUACAAAUGAAUAAUUUUUUCAGCCAAAGGCUUUAUAAUUGGUCUUGUAAUCUACUAAAUAGGUUAUAAUUAAGCCUUUGAAAAUAAAGUACAUGUGUUGAUACCACCUUCAUGAUAUAUAGACAUACUUUAAAUUUACUCAAUUGGAUUUAAUCAUAUUUUUCCCUUUGGUAAUGAACUACAUUUUUGUCUUUGGACUUUCAAAAUUUAAUUACAGUGUAGUGUAUUAAUUUACCUUGAAUCCUAUGGUUAUAUAGUUUAAAUUUUAUUGUAAUGGACUUGUGGGCUUAGCCCACAUGAUAUAAUACAAUGCAUUUCAGUAAACUUUAAACAUUGCUACAAAGAGAUAAACUAACAUUUUGAAAAGAAAAUAAUAUUAAUGAUCUACAUAAAAUUUGAGCACAUUUUACAUUUUAUUUAUGAAAAAAUUCUGGCAAAAUUGGUCUUAUUUUUAAAUUUAUGAUUUAGAACCAUGGGGUAGUAUAUAUUGUUAUCUCAAAUGAUAGAAUUUUAAAGAAUCUUUUCAUUUUGUUGAAGAAAAUACCAUUACUACUACUACUACUACUGACAGAAAGAACUCAUGAAUGUAAACUGGAGGAUAUUACAGCUUUGUUUAGUGAAUAUAAGCGAACAACUUGUGUGUGCUAAGUGUACUGUUUUUUGUGUAUUUUGCUUAAUCCAGAGAGCAAGAUGAUUACUAAGCACUGAAGUAUAAAAUUCAGUCUAGAAGACUUGUAACUUUGGUAUUCAAUAAAGGAAACUAUACAUAUUCUCUUUAUAAUAUAAGUGAUAUAUAUUCCAUAUAAAAAGAUCUGUUUCUUUGGUAUGAUGUAUAAAAGUAUACAUCUUUACUUUGAGGUGUCUUUUGUAAUAAUUGAAAGAUUUAAAAACAUCUAAUGCCACAUGGAAAACAUUAUUUAGUAAUAGACAUGUACCAUAUCUUGUGGAUUUUUCUUUCCCAAUUUUGCCUUUUCUUUCCUCAUUUUGCUUUCUUACUAGAAUUACUUGCAUGUAACCAUUUGUGUUCAUAUAUUCUGACUUACUUUCCUCUUGUCAUUAUCUUAUUGGUGCUGUCAUGCCUUCUUUUUAUCAGAAUUAAUAUGACAAACUUAGAGGUAUGAUUUUGGUGUUGGACUUUUCAGAACAGAGAUACAAUUUCCAAGUAUUCUUUUCAAGUAAUAGCAUUAGGGUAUGUGAAAUUGGAAAGUGCAAAAUUAUCACAAAAUAACUUACAAUCUUUCUAUAUUAAUUAAUCUUUCCAUAUAAUUAAUUACAAUCUUUCUAAAUUAAUUAAUGGUUUUUAAAAGUAGAUUAUCUUAAUUAAUUUCUCACUGAGGUUGCUCAGAGGGGUAAUAUUAUACAGUCCUUUCAUGAAUGGAACACAAUCAGAAUUAAGCAAUGAACAGCAAGAUUCUUCAUCACUCAAUGAGGAUUGAAAAAUUAUAAAAAGACACAGAAACACUAGUAGAUUUUCCCAAUAAUGGUGCAAAACUUUUCUGCUGGAAAAUUCAAAGCAGAUUUAAAAAAGUAGUAGGGACAACUUUAGUAUAAAGGAAAUCUUCAAAUUAUACUCUAAUUUUAUAGAAGGAAUCCAGAUAGGGACGUUUACUCAUGUACUUUUUGGCUAGAGCAAUAAAUUCAUAUGUAAAUGGGAGCUGUUUUGGUGGGGUUCCUAUAAAUGCUUAACCAGUAAAACAAAUCCUUUCUAUAAAAUUUUAGUAUACUGUGGUUUCUAAUGGAUUCAUGAACAAUUAAUUUCCAUUGCUUUUCUUUUUAGUUGAUGGUUCUUGCUAGUAUUUACUGAUAGCACAAUUUAGGAGUUUUGUUGUUCUGGAAAGGAGAGGAUAUUGUAGUCUUAUUUUCCUCAAAGGGAAAACAUCAUGUUUUCCCAGAAAGACUAAGAAUCUAUGGUCCUAAAGUGCAUAUUAUCGUAAGUAAACACAGGAAGGCAUUGGUAAGUAAAUUAAAAUGUAGUGGUGGUGAUUUUGUGGGGGUGAAAUGGUUUCAGCCAAUUCAUGAAAAUCAAACUUGAGCCUCUUUUGUUAGACAUAGAAAUGCCUAAACAUUAAUUUUUGCAAUGUAUUGCUAUCAGUAAUUAAACAUAAAAAAA